RNAcentral lists this long non-coding RNA (296 nucleotides) under Olea europaea (common olive). Its description in RNAcentral is "long non-coding RNA (OEUR_LNC011373)". The record is from RNAcentral. Lineage: Eukaryota; Viridiplantae; Streptophyta; Magnoliopsida; Lamiales; Oleaceae.
UUAUAUUUUCCUCUGAUCCCCAAUUCUCUCUUCGGUUUCCAACCAAAAUUCAAUCAUAAUUGCUAGAGCUCUCUUUAGUUUAUCUCAAUCCAACUACUCUAGCAGGAUUUUCAACUAUUCACAGGCAUUGUCACACUCAGUCACAGCUUUGAGGUAAUCUAUGUUAGCACGCUUGAUAUUGUCAUCUUCUACGAGUGCUUUCAAGAAAACGUCGUAAAUGGAUUCUCUUGAUAGAUUAACUCUACAUAAUGUAAUAGCUAAUUGAUUUGCCAAUGUAGUCUCUAGUGAUUUAUGAG